Molecule: transfer RNA, 55 nt
Filed under: Hypselodoris apolegma
Lineage: Eukaryota; Metazoa; Mollusca; Gastropoda; Nudibranchia; Chromodorididae
Description: tRNA-Leu
Source: RNAcentral
AUUGACUUGGCAGAAUAAUAUGCGAUUGAUUUAGGAUCAAUUUAUAAUAUUUGUA